RNAcentral lists this long non-coding RNA (2271 nucleotides) under Helianthus annuus (common sunflower). Its description in RNAcentral is "hypothetical non coding rna". Lineage: Eukaryota; Viridiplantae; Streptophyta; Magnoliopsida; Asterales; Asteraceae. The record is from RNAcentral.
UCUCCCACACUUGUAAUGAUGUAGCCCCAAAUAGAGAGCCUUGUACGAGACAAUCCUAGGGAUUGUGUGCAAGGUUCUCGGAGAUCGUACCAGACAGUCCUUGAGACUGUGUGCGAUCUAAGCAGCGACACUUUGAUUCGUAUUGAAUAUUUUCUUUUUGUUCUUAUGGAUUGUUCUUAUUUUCCGCAUUCGAUUAAUCCUAGAGUGAUAUCACGGGUUGUUCGGGACUAACAAGUGGUAUCAGAGCCAUUGAAGUCUUUCAAAGGCUCGGUUUUGAUAUCACUCGAAGAACAAGAAGAAGUUUUGAUAAGUGUCGGGGUUGUAUGUUUGUCGAAGGAAAGUUCUCCGGUUCGUAAGAUGUAGUAUUUCAUUCACAGAUUUGAAAAACUUUAAGAUCUGAUUGUGCUUUUGGUUCAUCCAACUACACACUACUGAAGUGUGUGUUGUAGAUGUUUCAGCCGCCAAACGCUCUGCUUCUUGUUCUACAACAGUCGCCGGAGUUUGGUGGUGAACGGAGUAGUGAUAGAGAUAAGUUAACAGUGAUCGGAUAUAAUAAACAAAGAUGUUGCAGGUGAAAGAUGAUCAGAUGUCGAUGAUGAAGAGUAAUAGAGUGAAGGUGUAGAAGAUGGAGUACGGUGGUGAUGUGUUCAUCGGACAUGGUGGUACGGUAUUCAGUGAUCGGAGACUGUUAUGGUGUAAACUAGAAACGGAGAUGAAGCGAGUGCGAUGUCGGAGAAGAGAAGGUUGAUGGUACAGUCGCCGGUGAAGAUGGAUGAUACGUUGAUCGGAGGACAGACGAGAUGGAAGGGAUGACCGGAACCAAAGACGAUGGUCGGUUUACGGUGUUUGUAUGGAGUGAUCGGUAGAGACGGAGGGUGUUAGAGGUGACGGCGGAAGAAUCGGAGAUUUUACGGUGAAGCGGUGGUGGUCGUCGGUGAAUACGUUUGUCGGAGUGGUGAAGAAGAUGGUCGUCGAACAGAGGAGAGGGAUGUCGUUGAUGGUGUCUGCCGGAAUGAUUUGAAGAAGAUGAUCGGUGUACGGUGGUCGAUGGAGGGUAUCGAAUGAUGCGACGAAGAUGAUCUACUGUUUUCUGUUGAAAAUGAUGAUAAUUUUGUUAAUGAGUGGUGAACAUGGAUAGAAUAAUAUGAUUUCGGAUGAUGUUACUGUGAUUUCCGAUGAUGAUGCCAUCAUCAGCAAAGAAUGAUUGGGGGAAUGUUUGUUGGCGGCUGCACAUGAUUUCUCCAAAACCCUAGUAAUUAUGAGCCAUCAGAUGGGUGAGAGAUCAACGGUCAAAAGGCUAGGACAUUGUUUGUGAAUUUUAUGCAACAAUUUUGUGGGGCAAGUGUGGGAUUCGAUGUAGAGCUGUGUAAUGGAUAAAAGUAUACGGCUCGAAGCUUCUAAGGAGGAUUGAUCAUUUAUUUUGAGUAGGAGCCCAGGUAUCAAUGAUAAAGAGUCUAAUUAUGUUGGGCCAGCUGAUCAAGCUAAGGCCCAAAAAUGUUGUGAAUUAUGGUCCGUAAAAUAGCAUGGGUGGAUCUGAAUCUUAAGAUGUUGAGAUUAUUGGUACGAAAUUUUGGAACAAAAUUUUGAAACGAGGAAUUUUGUUCAUCAUUUUCGAUGGGAUGGUUUUUAAAUAUUAAGGGGCAAGGCUCAGCAAUUAUUUUGGGUUAAGGUUCUAUGGAAUUUCCAUUGGUUCCAGUGCAAACUUGUGUUUUUGCGCGACUUGAAUACCAGACGGAUCACUUUGAAUCCGUGUGUUCUUGUUAGUGAAUCAAAUUUGAAAUUUCUUCCGAGAUCAUAUAUUUUCACUCGAGAUCAUUGUUCUUCAUCCUCAUCCUCGAUACAUUGAAUUUUAUCCGAGACGCAUCAGAAGUCCUCCGCCACUCGUCCGACAUCAUAAUUAUCAUCACAUUUCAUCCGAGAUACGCUGCUGGACUUGUUCACUGCUGGGCCACUAAAGGGAGAAGACCCAAAACUGGAGAACCUCUAAACCGUAAUAAAGAUAGCAUAAAACUAGGGGGAGAUUGUUAGGUCCAAAAGUUUUAUGCUUUAUCUUUAUUAUAUUUAUUAUAUUUAUUUGGUUUAGAUUAGUUUUGGGCUUGGGCUAGGCCAUGUGGGCCAAUAGGGUAGAGGCUCCUAUAAUGUAACAACCCAUAAUUAUCGACUCCUAAUUACGUGAUUAACGAACGUUUAAGGCGAUAAUAAAUAGUGUUUAAGGUACGUAUUAACUUAAUUAUGCCUUUGGAGUGCCUAGGAACAUCCAUUCGGCUUUAC